This is a long non-coding RNA of Papaver somniferum (opium poppy), 916 nucleotides long. RefSeq lists it as uncharacterized. The record is from RefSeq and is a predicted model, not a curated record. Lineage: Eukaryota; Viridiplantae; Streptophyta; Magnoliopsida; Ranunculales; Papaveraceae. The transcript has 6 exons.
UUCGGUAAUGAUCUAUUGAACGCUUAUCGGAGCAUCUAGUUUCUAUAGCCCUGUUUGGCUGCCAUUUCUUUCCGUCUGACUUCUAUACCUAACCUUUUUAUGCGCCUAUCUCUUUCUCUUCUCCAUCUUCUGCAUCGCCUAAACCCCUCCAUCUUUUUCAUCUUCUCCACAAAACCCAAGCUCUCCAACAAACCCUAAGACAACAACAACAGUUUGUUUCGCAUUAAACAACCCCCUUGACGUCGAUCUGAUUCGAUUCAAGUUGUUCUUUGUGAUUCCAGUAAUGUGGGAGGUCUUACCGAGAUUCACAACUAGGGGUGAAAAUAUAAAACUCAAGGCAAUGCUUCCAUCCUAUAUGUCAUCUGAUGUCAAUUCAGGAAAAUUCUAAAACCUUGGCCUCAUUCUUGUUCAGGAAAAUUCUAAAACCUUGGCCUCAUUCUUGUUCAUGAAAAGUGAUUGAAUGUAGAAUUGUGAAGUCGUUGCUCCUGCUGGAAUUGCAUUGAAACCAAAUCAAGAAGUGGUUCCUUAAUCUGCAGCGAAGUGAGUUUCUUAAAAUCUUAAUAUGAAUGAGAUGGAAGCAACUGAAAUCUCUUACUUGAUAUAUGAGGUUUUUUUAAUUAGAAGAGAUUUUUGCGCUUAAGGUGGGAUUGAAGUGUUUUGCAAUAAGGUUAUUACUGGGAGCAUAGGCGUAGAGCUACUUUUUACAAGUGCAACAGUAUUGCUUAUGGCAACAAGGUUAUUUUUCGAUGUUGUUGAAUUGUACUUUUGCUCAGUCAGAAUUUCGUCGAAGCUUAUGAUCUCUCCAAGUCAUUUUCUUUUUUGGUUUCUUGGAUUUUUGGACGGAUAAUUUUGUAUUGAGCAAUGAAUUCAUAUUUGUAAUAAAACUACAAGGGUUAAUGCAUUUAAUGAAGUUAAU